CCCAGAAGGCGGUGGGUGAUGUGAGGCCGCUCAGAGAACAGAGCAAGCUGUUCCGGGACUCGGCGUCUGUCCCCGGCCGGGGCAUGGCAGAUUUCUCUUAGGUGUUUCCUAGACGGUCUCUCCUGCUCUCCACACUCGCCUUGAUGUGCUCUGCAGCUCUGUCACGAAGCCUCUAUCCAAUGCCGACACUGCGUGUGGAAAUGGUCGUGGCUUUUCAGGUGGCACAGUCGUCCUCGGAGGGGACUGAUCUCUCGCAGCAGAUUCUCAGCUCCUGUUUUCUGCUUGGCCUCUCCCUGCAUAGCUCAGGAAUCACCGGCGGCCCCGAGAGACCGUGGCCGUUUGAGCACGUGCAGCCCGUCCAACAGCGGGUUUUUAGAGCUGUCGCUGUCUGCAGGAUGUUUAGACGGAUAAAACCACUCCCAUGGCCGAGAAGAGAAGCCGCUUUCCUUGCAUUUCUAGUCAUUGCCUAGCUGUUGUAUUUGUGGUUUGAUGUGGACCUUUAACCGCAUCCAGAGGUUUGCACUUUAAAUCCCGCUUUACUUGAUGCUAUGUUUUUUGUUAGCGUUUUCCUCGUUUUUAUUUUCAGCUUUUGCCAACUUUAUGACAUCUGUAUAAACAACGUAUUGCUGGUUUUAUUUUCAA
Suricata suricatta (meerkat) is the source of this 642-nucleotide long non-coding RNA. RefSeq lists it as uncharacterized. The transcript is spliced from 5 exons. NCBI's taxonomy places the organism in Eukaryota, Metazoa, Chordata, Mammalia, Carnivora, Herpestidae. The record is from RefSeq and is a predicted model, not a curated record.